Long non-coding RNA from Dreissena polymorpha, 782 nucleotides. RefSeq lists it as uncharacterized. The transcript has 3 exons. NCBI's taxonomy places the organism in Eukaryota, Metazoa, Mollusca, Bivalvia, Myida, Dreissenidae. The record is from RefSeq and is a predicted model, not a curated record.
UCAUGUUUAUUAAUGGCGGUGAGUUGUAUUUGUAACAACAGCGCCAUAGUGAACGAGUGAAAAUCAUAACGUAAUUAAUUAACCAUGGAACGGCCGAUAAAACAAGAUAGAUAUUACUUGCUGAGAGGUGUCAUUCUAGUUUUAUCAGUAUAUAAUUUCAAGUGCGUAUCGAUAUUUGCAGUUGAAAAAACACAAGCGAGUUCGAAUGGAUCAAAUAAAACGACUAAACCGAACGAGACACAAACAACUGACGGGCGAACAUUUAGGACGUUGGCUAUUGUUUCUUUAUGUAUACAUGUGCUGAUUGUAUUGUCGCAGGUUGCAGUAGAACUCUACCGGCGAGCAAAUAAAAGAUCGUAUUCAAAAGCCUCUCAACAGCAUGUUCCUGAACAGACAGAAGAACUUAUAAUGUAGCCUUUCGACAGGAUUGUCCUUACCCGGAAACUUAUGACAUAGAGGCAGUGUUGUCAUUACCUUUUUCAAUUGUAUUUUAGCAUGGUUGAACCAUUUUCUCGUAAAUAUUCAUUGAUUCGUACAUGUAGAGGAAUGUUAAAAAAGUGCAAGUCGUGAUUCUAUUCGUUUUUUUUAUUAUACUAUCCAAAGACUCUGCGGGAGAUAAGCUUUAUAUCUUCAGUGAUCUUUCUUAUGCUACCACAUAUGUGGAUAUAAUUAUUGCUUAAAAUAAAGAAGUCCAUGUGUUGUUAUGUUUUUUGCAGAAUCGCACGUUACAAACCAGAAAUCACUCGCAUAAGAACUUUCAGCGAAGUUAAACUGGAUGUAAA